CUUUCCUCCCUCUCAGCCACUGACCCCACAGUGCAGUGAGCCCAAUGCCCAGGGUGCUGCUUUGGGGAACCCCUCCUUGUCCCAGGGUGCCCGGGGACCCCCAGACCCAUCCUGCAGUGCUGGGGAUCAUGUUCGUGGAGCAGCGGGAAGCUUUUCCCGCUGCCCUUUUUUCAAGGAAAUUCUAUAUUACUGUUACUGAGAGGGUGUAAAAAAGAGAAACUAAGCCCUCUGGGGCACUGUCAUUAUUGUGUGCUGGUUUGGAAUAAAUGCUCCCCUUUCAGUGCUCAGGGGAUGCCUUCAUCUCCCCCAACCUCUGAGUAUGUUCCAUCUGAUGACCAUUGGAGUUCAGCCAUCGAUGAAUGUGAGUCCUCAGCAAAAACAGUGCAGGGGUCCCUUCCAGCUUGGGGUGUUCUGUGAUUCUGUGCUAUGAGAGAUGCUCUGGUAUGGGUCUGGGUUUGUCCAUGCUUCUCCCACCUUUAACAUCCAUAAAACUCCACUGGGACAUUAUCCGCCCAGCAUGUGAAUGUAUCAUUGAAGCAGUCAAGGAAGGAGGGAACACCGAAGUUGCCCAUGUCCCUGUGGGAAUGAAGUGGCUCCCAUCCUUGUAAAUACAUUUUUUUAGUGGCCACAACAGCCAUAGGGGAUGCGGAGGGGAUGGGGAAAACCCCAGCCGGGUCUCUCCCCUGCCAGCUGCUCGCAGGAGCUCCUGAGGUGUCUGGACAGGUAAUUAGUGCCUGGGCUGCAGGAUCCCUCCGUCAUCCUGCCCAGCACAUGCGAGGAGCGGCAGGGCUGGAUUUUUGAUGGCUGAUUUACCCCGAACAAAGGCCCCAAACAACACUGAACGCCCGACUCAGGGAUGGAAACUUUAGAGCCAAUGGGCUCCUUUCCCAUCAGUUAAAAAUAGUGUUAUUUUUUUCUAAGCUGAUAACAUUUUAAACAUUUUGUUAGACAGAGUUUUCUUGGGAGGCAGGGAAACCUGUGCGUUUGCUAUAAAAGAAACUUCUGUGGAUAAGGAAAUAUUUCCUGUGAACUCACCUGUUGCCAGCCAAGGAGAAAUGUUCGGUGUUUUAUUUCAAUCAAGAAUUCACUGCUAUCUGGUGCUUUAUCUAACCUCACUCUUUGGAAGAUUUGAUGUCACGCUUGGCAGAGCCCUCAGAUCCACGUGUCUUUAUGGGUGCUGCUCUGCUAAAACUCCUCAUGUGCUGGUGUACAACUGAAAAUAAAGCCUGAAAUCUGCACAGAAUGGGCAAACAUGGCCCAAAUUGGCCUUGAAUUUUUAAAGAGGAGUUGAUAUAAGCACCUCUGUGCAACUCUCCCAGUGUCUGAGCAGUGCCAGGCAGUGCUAUUUGCUGCAUAGGAGAGGUCUCUGCCACUGGUUUUAUUGCAUGUUGUAGACUGGCCCUUACUGUUUAACUUUACAUGGAGACUGAUGUUGAAGGGCGGCCUUAGCUUCUCAGAACCUGUAUAACACCAAUGGCUGCACGGGCCAACGUGUAAGCCCAUGCUUUGACCACAAUGGACUAUUUUUUUUUUCAAGUAAAUCAACUUUUUGCAAAUAGUGUUUUUUGGGGGGCAGUGUUUAGGGCUGCCCAUUGCCUCAGAUGGUGGCAGGUUCCAAGGAAGAUGCAACAAUGAUCUUCAGAGAUCCCUCCCAACCUUUAUGACUCCAUAACAACAGCCAGCUGGGAUGCAGCCUCUGAUGUGCUCACAACCUGAUCCACCCUGGCUGCCUGCUGUAGCACUGAAGUUGCCCGCAAUCAAGAUCAUCAGGAGCAGUUUCCAAGGAGACUACCUCCUUGUGGGUUGAAUCUUCAGCAGGUGCAUAUUAGCUCAUUUCCAGCGAAGUCUGCAGGCAGAAAAUCAACUUCUCUCUUGCCUGACCUUUUCUCACCUGCUUCCCGUUUUAUCCUCUCAUGGAUGCAACUUUCCCUGCAGGAAAAAGAGAUGGAAAGAAAUACACAAGAGCUUGGAUAUGUAAAUAACUUUUCCUGACUUUUCCUGACACGUUUCAAAUUUGGCUCUGUGCAAUUUGAUACAGUGUCACACUUGGUGCGUGCCAGCUUUGCGUCUGAAGUAAAAGAGCCGGAGAACUGUACCAGAUCAGACCUCCGAGGAAGAAGCUUUUGCAGGAAUCCAUGACCACACAGAAGGAAAACAGAGACAGCAACCUUGUCUCCCAAAGGUAUUAUGGGACUUCUCACCUUCCAAAAAUCCUGCUUGCACGGCUGCUUCAUUCCACUGGUUUCCAAGACUGAUGCUAUACCUUCCUGAUUUGCAGUGGAAGGAUUGUCAUCGCAGCUUGUCUGCACUACUCAAACGUGGCAUCAAAAUGGGCUCCAUGGAACAUCCUUUGCAUGGGAGGCGGCCAGUGAUGACAGCAAGCUUUAUCCAUCACAAAGCUGAAGAAAAGGAUCAAGGCGAUCCUUCUCUCUGCACUGAAGAGUGAGAGAAACCUUUGAUAAAACCCAAACAGGGAGAUCUCCACCACUUCCUUCUGCCAUAUGUUGAACUCUGCAUCCCUCAGUACCACGGGGAUGGUACUAUGCACCCCACAGACCCAAGGAAGAGCAGUGGUGUGACUGGAGAGGAGGAGCAACAUCUUUUGUUACAAGGUGGUUGAUAAAAUUAAUUGUACAGCUACAAGAAUACUUUUAUGUCGUGAUUACCAGAGCCACCCAGGAGUCUGUAAAUGAGAACUAAAGAGCAUGAUGAGAAAACCCAACUACAUUUGACCUGGCAUUGAACCACCACAUGCACCAGUCUUGUACAGUUCUAAGGUGGAAGAGUCUGGCAUCAUUUGCCAUGAAGCUUUAUAAAUGUCUCAGGCAUCCUUGAGAAUUCUGGGAAUUCAAAAGCCCAGACAGCAAGAAAGUCUGAAUUAAACAAAAGGAGAAUUAAAGGAGAUCCACAAUAGUCAGUAACUGCUGUAAAGAUUCUGUUUUAUGGUCAAGUUCUGCAACUACUAUCAUCAUCCAGCUACGGACAUCAGUAGGAGACUGCAGUAUUGCAAU
This is a non-coding RNA of Meleagris gallopavo (turkey), 3011 nucleotides long. The record is from RefSeq and is a predicted model, not a curated record. Lineage: Eukaryota; Metazoa; Chordata; Aves; Galliformes; Phasianidae.